GCACAAGAAUCUGCAGUUUAAUGCUCAGAAUCAGUCUACGUCCUUCCUGUACCCCAACGUCACACAGGAAGACCUCUCUGUGUGGAAACGACAGUCCUCUGCUGCCCACUGCCACAGGAGGGGGGCUCAGGGACACUGAACUCCUCCAGACACCACCAAGAACACACCCACCACCCCAGGAUCCUAUAUAUUUCUUCUUGGAGACUAAAGUUAGACACCUCCAUAAUGUCAUAAUGCAAGACGAAUUAAUGUGUGCAAGGAUCUAUGUACUCCAGCAAGACUCAAGUAUCUUCUAAUAAAACGCCCCAAAAUGUCAUUUGUAUCCCACAAAACGUGUGAUACCUUCAGUAAUGUAACAAUGAGAUCCCUGACCAAAACCACUACAGAUUACCCGCCGAAUGGUGACAGUUUCCCUUCAAACCCUUAUGGGUCAGACCCCACAGAAGUCAACACAUAAACACCAGAUGGUGCUUCUCGGAUCCACCCCUCAGGAUUCAGGCACAAACUGCCCUCCAGCUGUCAGUUUGGCUGCUGAUCACUGGACAGCUCACCCCCUCCUUGUAAAGUGACUCGGCUACAGGGAGCAGCGGCCUCUUCAUCACUGGGCAGCCAGUGUCCAGUGUCUGGUCAAUGCAGGAAAGAGAAGCCUGUUCCUUCCCUCAAAUUGGACCAACUCUGGAAGGUCAUCCCCCCUCCAGAGCUCCCUGCUGUAGCCAUCCAGUGGAUUCUGGAUUUUUGUCCUGAGGGCAACAGGAAGCCAAUGAAAGGAUUAAAGCCAGGGAAUUCCUUCCCUGCUGUUUGUCCCUCUCCUGUCACCCAUCGCCCCUUUUUCUGUCCCAGCACCACCUCUGUCGCUGCCGCGGCUCCAGUUCUUCUAUUCCUUCCCCCGCGGUCUCAGUCUGAUGUAUCUGCUCCUUGCUGCCCCUCUCCUAUCACCGGUUAAGGUCUCUCUCGUCCAGUGUGCUACCCUUCACCUCUCUGGAGAUACCUUUUAAUCUAGAUUUCUCUAUUUUCUUCUCCCUCUACUUUUCUUUGGUUCACUCCACUCUCACUGUCUCUCCACAUCCACCCGCUCUACCCUGUUCCUCCCUCCCUUCCUUCCUUUCUCUCAUCCGUAGUCUUUCUCGUUCUCUCAGGGUGCCUCUGCUUCGUCCCACACCCUCACACAGGUAAGAAAUAAAAACGUUCUUUGCCUGGGAGGAAGCUUCCA
Molecule: long non-coding RNA, 1210 nt
Filed under: Ursus maritimus (polar bear)
Lineage: Eukaryota; Metazoa; Chordata; Mammalia; Carnivora; Ursidae
Description: lncRNA (ENSUMAG00000010442.1)
Source: RNAcentral